AUGGCGGAUCCAACACGUCAGAUAACAGGGGGGCAGGGGGAAGAGGCGGAGGCGGAAGUAGGGUUAGGGCUUGAGGGGGCGACCGGAUCUGGAGAUCAUGAUGGGGUCAGGGAAGAUGGAAGCCAAAACAACUCGAUGGCGGAUGGGGGGAGUCACAGCUCGCAGGCAAGGAGGAGUGCAUUUGGCGGAGGGGAGGAUGAGCAUGGUUCGUACUUUGGGUCGGGGCCUGAUCUUGAGGAUCAGUUCGUCGGGAUGAAGUUGCAUGGGAAGGAAGAGGAGGAUCUGGAUUUCUCAGAGGAGGUGGAAGAUUUGAUCAAAGAUGUUCGCUGGUUAGCCUUGUUCCGGGUUCAUACGACCAAGCCGUUCAGUCAUGCGGCGCUCUUGACGCAGAUGCGUAAUGCGUGGUCGGCGGCGCAGGGCGUGACUUUCAAUAUCAAGGGGCCCAAUUUGUUCCUUGUUCAGUGCCACUGCUUGGGAGAUUGGAGGAAGAUCAUGGAGGGAGGGUCGUGGCUGUUCCGUCGGGCGCCUGUGGUGAUCCAGGAGUAUGAAGGAUUUUCAUAUGUCAAGGGCUAUAAACUAAACAAGGUACCGUUGUGGGCUCGUGUCAAGGGUCUGCCUGAUGGCCUUACUAGAAAGGGAGUUGGCGGAGAAGGUAGCUGCAAAGGUGGGAGAUCCUCCGUUUACUGUUGUGGUGAAUGA
This 699-nucleotide ribosomal RNA is filed under the name Triticum aestivum (bread wheat). RNAcentral describes it as "partial small subunit ribosomal RNA". Lineage: Eukaryota; Viridiplantae; Streptophyta; Magnoliopsida; Poales; Poaceae. The record is from RNAcentral.